RNAcentral lists this ribosomal RNA (1372 nucleotides) under uncultured bacterium. Its description in RNAcentral is "bacterial SSU rRNA". It matches the Rfam family "Bacterial small subunit ribosomal RNA", at positions 28 to 1381 of the family's 1533-position model. The record is from RNAcentral.
GAUGAACGCUGGCGGCGUGCCUGAUACAUGCAAGUCGAGCGAACGGACGAGAAGCUUGCUUCUCUGAUGUUAGCGGCGGACGGGUGAGUAACACGUGGAUAACCUACCUAUAAGACUGGGAUAACUUCGGGAAACCGGAGCUAAUACCGGAUAAUAUUUUGAACCGCAUGGUUCAAAAGUGAAAGACGGUCUUGCUGUCACUUAUAGAUGGAUCCGCGCUGCAUUAGCUAGUUGGUAAGGUAACGGCUUACCAAGGCAACGAUGCAUAGCCGACCUGAGAGGGUGAUCGGCCACACUGGAACUGAGACACGGUCCAGACUCCUACGGGAGGCAGCAGUAGGGAAUCUUCCGCAAUGGGCGAAAGCCUGACGGAGCAACGCCGCGUGAGUGAUGAAGGUCUUCGGAUCGUAAAACUCUGUUAUUAGGGAAGAACAUAUGUGUAAGUAACUGUGCACAUCUUGACGGUACCUAAUCAGAAAGCCACGGCUAACUACGUGCCAGCAGCCGCGGUAAUACGUAGGUGGCAAGCGUUAUCCGGAAUUAUUGGGCGUAAAGCGCGCGUAGGCGGUUUUUUAAGUCUGAUGUGAAAGCCCACGGCUCAACCGUGGAGGGUCAUUGGAAACUGGAAAACUUGAGUGCAGAAGAGGAAAGUGGAAUUCCAUGUGUAGCGGUGAAAUGCGCAGAGAUAUGGAGGAACACCAGUGGCGAAGGCGACUUUCUGGUCUGUAACUGACGCUGAUGUGCGAAAGCGUGGGGAUCAAACAGGAUUAGAUACCCUGGUAGUCCACGCCGUAAACGAUGAGUGCUAAGUGUUAGGGGGUUUCCGCCCCUUAGUGCUGCAGCUAACGCAUUAAGCACUCCGCCUGGGGAGUACGACCGCAAGGUUGAAACUCAAAGGAAUUGACGGGGACCCGCACAAGCGGUGGAGCAUGUGGUUUAAUUCGAAGCAACGCGAAGAACCUUACCAAAUCUUGACAUCCUUUGACAACUCUAGAGAUAGAGCUUUCCCCUUCGGGGGACAAAGUGACAGGUGGUGCAUGGUUGUCGUCAGCUCGUGUCGUGAGAUGUUGGGUUAAGUCCCGCAACGAGCGCAACCCUUAAGCUUAGUUGCCAUCAUUAAGUUGGGCACUCUAAGUUGACUGCCGGUGACAAACCGGAGGAAGGUGGGGAUGACGUCAAAUCAUCAUGCCCCUUAUGAUUUGGGCUACACACGUGCUACAAUGGACAAUACAAAGGGCAGCGAAACCGCGAGGUCAAGCAAAUCCCAUAAAGUUGUUCUCAGUUCGGAUUGUAGUCUGCAACUCGACUACAUGAAGCUGGAAUCGCUAGUAAUCGUAGAUCAGCAUGCUACGGUGAAUACGUUCCCGGGUCU